This 920-nucleotide long non-coding RNA is filed under the name Apteryx owenii (little spotted kiwi). RNAcentral's name for it is "lncRNA (ENSAOWG00000007068.1)". Lineage: Eukaryota; Metazoa; Chordata; Aves; Apterygiformes; Apterygidae. The record is from RNAcentral.
CACAAGAUAAGCUUCUGGCAGACCUGAUGGUAGACUCUUCAUACGUUUUCUAGUCUAGUGGUGUUUUAAUGUUUCUUGCCUCAAGAGUUACUUCCUUGUAAUCUGAUCCUCCUCUCAUACUGCUGCAACAUUAUUUCCUGCAUGAAUGCUUACGUUAUGGGGCUGAAGGAAGUACAGAGAGAAAGACCACCUCUCCAAUGCCUCCCCAUGUAGACUAGAUUUCCUGCCAUAACGAUAUGAAAAAGGAGAAUUUGAAACCCUGGGAUGUGACAGUAAAAAGAAUGAUGAUGGAAAAAUGGAGGUGGGAUGAGAAAACAGAAAAAAAAAAUUGGAGUUUCUGGGCAAGGAAAUAGAAAUUGGCCUGACAAAGAGACAUUUUUACUGAUGGUCCAGCAGAAAGACAACACACAGCACAGCAAUAUAGAGGGACCCCAGCUACUCCCUCCAUUCAAAAUCUACUGUGAAACUCUCACUGAAGGCAAUAAGGGAAGAUUUAGACCUUCUAAUUCAAUUCAUGCAACCGCUGAGUUACUGCAUAAGGAACACUUCACCACUCUGGAAGAAAGAAGCUGCUGCAUUUGGUGGAGCCAAAACCUGCAAACAUGCUCUGAGAAUGCCUGCAUGAGCAAAAAGCAGAUAAACACCAUCUGAAGCACUUCCAAGUAAACAGAGCUGCAGGAAUAUUUGGCUGCAGGUUAACAUGGACCACUUUGAGAGUUCAGAAUGGAGAGAAAUCACUGGACACCAUGCAGCCCUCCCUUGACAAGCCUGUCCUCCUUCCAUGGCAAGCUCUGUCCCUUUAUCCUCCUGAGAAUGAAACCAGUAUGGAUCAAGGAGAGAGAGGGCAGUCCCUGAAGGCAAUCACAUCCCCAAUUGCCCACUUUCUGCUUGGGGAAAAAUUCAGGAAGGAAAAUGACAAG